Non-coding RNA from Camelina sativa (false flax), 525 nucleotides. The record is from RefSeq and is a predicted model, not a curated record. NCBI's taxonomy places the organism in Eukaryota, Viridiplantae, Streptophyta, Magnoliopsida, Brassicales, Brassicaceae.
UCGAGAAAGUAUUUUCUUUUAUUUGCAUGCAUCUGAAACUCCUAAAAAGUCUAAUAAACUUUUAAAAAAAAAAAGAACAUACAUAAAUUGAUACCAUUGAUAUAUAUAUGGCAAUCACAAUAAACACACGUUCAAUAAAUAAGGUCGCGAACUUUGGUCCUCACCGGGAGACCGAGACUUCCUCUGCCAUCGAUUUAACUCCUCUGGCGAAAGGCUCCACGAGUGAUCGGCAGAGAGGACAUGUGGAAUGAGAAUGAAACCACAUAUCAAUACAGUCAAUGUGAAACGUAUGGUUGCAUUUUGGCAAAACCCGACAUGUUUCGUUAUCCUCAAGCUCCGAAAGGCAAACCCUACAUUCCAUAGAGGUUUCUGCGGUUGCGGCAGAGAAUGUGAAUUCAGGAAGAGAUUUGAUGACAGAAGGGUUAAGGCCACCUGGAGUGGUGACGACGGCGUUGGUGGAAGGGUCGGCGACGUGACGACUAAGAUUGGAGCGGCGAGAGUAAUGGUGAAGAAAGAUCAUAAAAA